This is a non-coding RNA of Marmota flaviventris (yellow-bellied marmot), 272 nucleotides long. The record is from RefSeq and is a predicted model, not a curated record. Lineage: Eukaryota; Metazoa; Chordata; Mammalia; Rodentia; Sciuridae.
CUCCCCCAUCCCCCGGUAACGGUCGCUGGUGAGUUUAAAUGAGCCGGGGCUGGCCGGGCCGGAGCCGCUACGGGGGGCGGCCUGAGGCACUGCAGAAAGUGGGCCUGAGCCUCAAGGAUGACGGUCCUGCAGGAACCCGUCCAGGCUGCUAUAUGGCAAGCACUAAACCAUUAUGCUUACCGAGAUGCAGUUUUCCUUGCAGAGCGACUGUAUGCAGAAGGUUUGUAAAUUUUCAUUUAUAUAGAACUAUAAAUAAAAUGCAUGAAAUUCCA